Molecule: unclassified non-coding RNA, 244 nt
Filed under: Hevea brasiliensis (rubber tree)
Lineage: Eukaryota; Viridiplantae; Streptophyta; Magnoliopsida; Malpighiales; Euphorbiaceae
Source: RNAcentral
GGGUAGUACUAGUUGUAUCCAGGGGUCGCAUAGAGUCGAUUAAAGUCCCGAUGGAAACAACGUGUCGGUGUAACUCAGCAAAGCAGACCUGGAAUGCGGAGAAAGCAUCCGAGAGUUUGCUGAAUUUGGCAAUUGAGUCGUCAUUUAUUGGUGGCUGCAGAAAUUCAGACUGUUUGGUGAUGUUUUGCAGAGCAUUUACUGUUUCUAUGAGUUGCGAUUGAGCUUCUACCGCCGGCAAUGGCCG